This 337-nucleotide unclassified non-coding RNA is filed under the name soil metagenome. RNAcentral's name for it is "partial contains 5.8S ribosomal RNA, internal transcribed spacer 2, and large subunit ribosomal RNA". The stretch from base 1 to 120 matches the Rfam family "5.8S ribosomal RNA", at positions 35 to 154 of the family's 154-position model. The record is from RNAcentral.
GAUGAAGAACGCAGCGAAAUGCGAUAAGUAGUGUGAAUUGCAGAAUUCAGUGAAUCAUCGAAUCUUUGAACGCACAUUGCGCCCCUUGGUAUUCCAUGGGGCAUGCCUGUUCGAGCGUCAUUUGUACCUUCAAGCUCUGCUUGGUGUUGGGUGUUUGUCUCGCCUCUGCGUGUAGACUCGCCUCAAAACAAUUGGCAGCCGGCGUAUUGAUUUCGGAGCGCAGUACAUCUCGCGCUUUGCACUCAUAACGACGAAGUCCAAAAGUACAUUUUUACACUCUUGACCUCGGAUCAGGUAGGGAUACCCGCUGAACUUAAGCAUAUCAAUAAGCGGAGGA